Molecule: ribosomal RNA, 366 nt
Filed under: uncultured bacterium
Lineage: Bacteria
Description: bacterial SSU rRNA
Rfam family: Bacterial small subunit ribosomal RNA
Source: RNAcentral
AUUGAACGCUGGCGGCAGGCCUAACACAUGCAAGUCGAGCGGUAGAGAGGUGCUUGCAUCUCUUGAGAGCGGCGGACGGGUGAGUAAUGCCUAGGAAUCUGCCCUAGUGGUGGGGGAUAACGUUCGGAAACGGACGCUAAUACCGCAUACGUCCUACGGGAGAAAGCGGGGAUCUUCGGACCUCGCGCCAUUAGAUGAGCCUAGGUCGGAUUAGCUAGUUGGUGAGGUAAUGGCUCACCAAGGCGACGAUCCGUAACUGGUCUGAGAGGAUGAUCAGUCACACUGGAACUGAGACACGGUCCCAGACUCCUACGGGAGGCAGCAGUGGGGAAUAUUGGACAAUGGGCGAAAGCCUGAGUCCAGCCA